CCUUCCCUCUUUCUUUAUGCCUAAUACAUGCAAGUCGAACGGCCACACAAUAAGAGCGUGCUCUUACGGUUAGCGGGUGACGGACGGGUGAGGAAUGGAUCAGAAUCUUCUUUUACGGGGGGAAUAUCGUAAGGCAACUGAUGCUAAUACCUCACACGACCUACGGCUGAAUGCAAGAGUGCUUCGCACCUUUCCCGAUUCAUUGAGCCGGAGUCGGAUUAGCUAGUUGGGUGGGUAAAGGCACACCAAAGCGACGAUACGUAGCUGGUCUGAGAGGAUGAUCAGCCACACUGGAACUGAGACACGGUCCAGACUCCUACGGGAGGCAGCAGUGGGGAAUCUUGGACAAUGGGCGCAAGCCUGACGCAGCCAUGCCGCGUGAGUGAAGAAGGUCUUCGGAUUGUAAAGCCCUUUUGUUGGGAAAGAAAAACAGCAUGUGAAACUACCGCUGUUCUGACGGUACCCAAAGAGUAAGCACCGGCUAACUUCGUG
Molecule: ribosomal RNA, 492 nt
Filed under: uncultured bacterium
Lineage: Bacteria
Description: partial 16S ribosomal RNA
Rfam family: Bacterial small subunit ribosomal RNA
Source: RNAcentral